AAUUCUCAACUCCUUUUGAUUUCGUUAUCGAAAGAAGCUUGGAUAGUGGGUUUGCUGGUGUCACCAUCAGCUUUCCUUAAAUGCAUUGGCAAAGGCGAUGGCACGAUAACGUCUUUCGGUGUGAUAAUGAUCGCCGUGGAUGGAAGUGUCCUUGUUCUCCUAUGCCUAUAACCCGUGUCGUUUGUUGCUUCAUUGCGAUGAAUACACUCUGAACC
RNAcentral lists this unclassified non-coding RNA (215 nucleotides) under Hygrophoropsis aurantiaca. Its description in RNAcentral is "partial internal transcribed spacer 2". Lineage: Eukaryota; Fungi; Basidiomycota; Agaricomycetes; Boletales; Hygrophoropsidaceae. The record is from RNAcentral.